Molecule: long non-coding RNA, 393 nt
Organism: Cyprinus carpio (common carp)
Lineage: Eukaryota; Metazoa; Chordata; Actinopteri; Cypriniformes; Cyprinidae
Exons: 3
Source: RefSeq, a predicted model, not a curated record
CAAGCCUGAUUCAUGGAGUGUCACGUGACACGCUCAGGUCACGUGAUAAAAUCCGAGACAAAUAAAGUCGAAGCAGAGAGCCGCGUUAUACACGCUUCACCGGGUCCGGUUUUAUUCUGAUAUCUUCACUGGUCUCGUGAAAAUACGCGCAAGAAAGUCUUUCAUGGGUUUGCAUCUGAAUAUUUAAAGAGCGUUAGUUUUGUGGAUCAACAAUCACACACAGAAUGGUGCGUGCGGGUGUCAUCGUGUUAUUAUGUGUGUGUCUGAGUGUGUGUGGCGCUCUGAUUUGUCCUGAUGGAGGGAUGUGUGAAGAUGGAAACACUUGCUGUCAAAUGCCAUCAGGAGGAUACGGCUGCUGCCCGCUACCCAACGUAAGAGUUUACUCAACAAGAC